AAAUAUAGGAGAUGAAAGUUGUUGGGAUGAGAAACCUUUCAUGUAUGGAACUAAACUUGAUGGUGAGUAAACUGAAGUCGAACCUCUUUGAGAAAGAAAUUAUGGACAAGGAUAAAAUGAUGUAUGAUAGCAUUUGAGCAAAAAAUGAAACUAGUAGGAAAAACUAUAUUAAUGCAUAUAUAAUCAUAGGCAAGUUUUAUACUCAAAACCAUCCCCAACCCAAAUCUGCAUAAGGUCUUUUAUGUUUCCUCCAUACCCGCCUCAUCACCCCCUUAUUAGCCCUCA
RNAcentral lists this unclassified non-coding RNA (285 nucleotides) under Hevea brasiliensis (rubber tree). The record is from RNAcentral. Lineage: Eukaryota; Viridiplantae; Streptophyta; Magnoliopsida; Malpighiales; Euphorbiaceae.